UCUCCGAAUCUAUAAGCUUUGGCCUGCCUUCUUCCCUUAUCUAAUCUAUUAGGUAAUAAGAAAGUGGUGUUAAUUGUCACGAUAAGGAGCUGACCAGUGACAUUUCUGUCUCAAUUGAAGUCAACCUUACUAUACUCGCUUGUAGGAGAUCAUCGCUCAGAAGGGCGUUCUUUCGCUAGAAAAACAAGAGUUUGAAGAUCACCCAACCCACGAAAAGGUCAGAACUCUCGAUCUAGCCCCACUUUCUACAGCAAUUUAUCGACAUGUUGUUUCAAAUGUCCUUGAAAAGGCUACACACAUACCCUGCCAAUCGAUGUGUAGUGGGUUUGUUCAGUGGAGAUGGGUAGAGUGCACAAGUAUUGGAAGGAAAGUUUCACCCUUCUUAAAAGAGAAAAAGUCUGUAUUGAACUAUGAUUUGAAUUCCUUUCUUAUUAGUUUCCAAGUGCAAAAUGUUCAUUGCCUUGAUCAGAGCCUUUAAGCCUUUUAGAAGCGAUCAUUUCCGCAACUUCUAUUUUUCCUAAAGCUAAUGAACCGAAUGGAAGAGAAAAACUUGGAAUAAAUAAUAAAGAAGGAACCAACAAGAAAAUAAAGAAUUGUUCCAACCUCGGCUCGGGGUCUGUCUGGAAAUGGAAAAUAGUUCUCUCUCUCAUCUGGUCUCGCCACAGUGACAAGAAAAACAAGUGAAUAAUUGGAAUAGAACAC
RNAcentral lists this long non-coding RNA (702 nucleotides) under Hordeum vulgare. RNAcentral's name for it is "long non-coding RNA (HVUL_LNC004341)". Lineage: Eukaryota; Viridiplantae; Streptophyta; Magnoliopsida; Poales; Poaceae. The record is from RNAcentral.